AGUCGAGCGGAUGAGGGGAGCUUGCUCCCUGAUUCAGCGGCGGACGGGUGAGUAAUGCCUAGGAAUCUGCCUGGUAGUGGGGGACAACGUUUCGAAAGGGACGCUAAUACCGCAUACGUCCUACGGGAGAAAGUGGGGGAUCUUCGGACCUCACGCUAUCAGAUGAGCCUAGGUCGGAUUAGCUAGUUGGUGAGGUAAUGGCUCACCAAGGCGACGAUCCGUAACUGGUCUGAGAGGAUGAUCAGUCACACUGGAACUGAGACACGGUCCAGACUCCUACGGGAGGCAGCAGUGGGGAAUAUUGGACAAUGGGCGAAAGCCUGAUCCAGCCAUGCCGCGUGUGUGAAGAAGGUCUUCGGAUUGUAAAGCACUUUAAGUUGGGAGGAAGGGUUGCUGAUUAAUACUCUGCAAUUUUGACGUUACCGACAGAAUAAGCACCGGCUAACUCUGUGCCAGCAGCCGCGGUAAU
RNAcentral lists this ribosomal RNA (469 nucleotides) under uncultured bacterium. RNAcentral describes it as "bacterial SSU rRNA". It matches the Rfam family "Bacterial small subunit ribosomal RNA", at positions 60 to 524 of the family's 1533-position model. The record is from RNAcentral.